Molecule: ribosomal RNA, 426 nt
Filed under: Clostridioides difficile
Lineage: Bacteria; Bacillati; Bacillota; Clostridia; Peptostreptococcales; Peptostreptococcaceae
Description: bacterial LSU rRNA
Rfam family: Bacterial large subunit ribosomal RNA
Source: RNAcentral
AGUCCACAUCGACGGGGAGGUUUGGCACCUCGAUGUCGGCUCAUCACAUCCUGGGGCUGUAGUAGGUCCCAAGGGUUGGGCUGUUCGCCCAUUAAAGUGGUACGCGAGCUGGGUUCAGAACGUCGUGAGACAGUUCGGUCCCUAUCCGUCGCAGGCGUAGGAAAUUUGAGAAGACCUGUCCUUAGUACGAGAGGACCGGGAUGGACGUACCUCUGGUGUACCAGUUGUCCUGCCAAGGGCAUGGCUGGGUAGCUAUGUACGGAAUGGAUAAGCGCUGAAAGCAUCUAAGCGCGAAGCCAACUUCAAGAUAAGAUGUCCCACCGCAAGGGUAAGACCCCAGAAAGACUAUCUGGUUGAUAGGUCGAAGGUGUAAGUGCAGCAAUGUAUUUAGCUUAUCGAUACUAAUAGGUCGAGGACUUGACCAAU